RNAcentral lists this non-coding RNA (23 nucleotides) under Cricetulus griseus (Chinese hamster). The record is from RNAcentral. Lineage: Eukaryota; Metazoa; Chordata; Mammalia; Rodentia; Cricetidae.
GAUGUUAAACUGGCUUACUAUAG